AGAGUUUGAUCAUGGCUCAGAACGAACGCUGGCGGCAUGCCUAACACAUGCAAGUCGAACGAGACCUUCGGGUCUAGUGGCGCACGGGUGCGUAACGCGUGGGAACCUGCCUUUAGGUUCGGAAUAACUCAGAGAAAUUUGAGCUAAUACCGGAUAAUGUCUUCGGACCAAAGAUUUAUCGCCUUUAGAUGGGCCCGCGUUGGAUUAGCUAGUUGGUGGGGUAAAGGCCUACCAAGGCGACGAUCCAUAGCUGGUCUGAGAGGAUGAUCAGCCACACUGGGACUGAGACACGGCCCAGACUCCUACGGGAGGCAGCAGUGGGGAAUAUUGGACAAUGGGCGAAAGCCUGAUCCAGCAAUGCCGCGUGAGUGAUGAAGGCCUUAGGGUUGUAAAGCUCUUUUACCCGAGAUGAUAAUGACAGUAUCGGGAGAAUAAGCUCCGGCUAACUCCGUG
This 453-nucleotide ribosomal RNA is filed under the name uncultured bacterium. Its description in RNAcentral is "bacterial SSU rRNA". It matches the Rfam family "Bacterial small subunit ribosomal RNA", at positions 8 to 507 of the family's 1533-position model. The record is from RNAcentral.